This 392-nucleotide ribosomal RNA is filed under the name uncultured bacterium. Its description in RNAcentral is "partial 16S ribosomal RNA". It matches the Rfam family "Bacterial small subunit ribosomal RNA", at positions 523 to 918 of the family's 1533-position model. The record is from RNAcentral.
AUACGGAGGAUCCGAGCGUUAUCCGGAUUUAUUGGGUUUAAAGGGUGCGCAGGCGGCCAUUUAAGUCAGCGGUUCAAUCGUGGGGCUCAACCCCAUUCUGCCGUUGAUCCUGGGUGGCUUGAUUGCGGUCGAGGUUGGCGGAAUUCGUUGUGUAGCGGUGAAAUGCAUAGAUAUGACGAAGAACACCGAUUGCGUAGGCAGCUGACCAGAUCGCAAAUGACGCUCAUGCACGAAAGUGCGGGGAUCGUACAGGAUUAGAUACCCUGGUAGUCCGCACAGUAAACGAUGAAUACUUGUUUUCGGCGAUAUAAUGUCGGAGGCAAAGCGAAAGCGAUAAGUAUUCCACCUGGGGAGUACGCCGGCAACGGUGAAACUCAAAUGAAUCGACGGGG